CAAAAGUAAUUUUUUGUCUCAAAAACUCAUUUUGACCAUGUCAAACGGCCCUUAAUUCAUCACAAUUUGAACCCCAAAAAAACCGACCAUAGGAUAAAAAUCCAGAUCAAACAGGCGCUAAAUUUGAAAACCGCAUCUUCAGCCUUUAAAAUAAUUCCUCUUCGAAAGAAGCCCAAAUCGUUUUGCUGUUGUUUAGCGGAUUUAAAUCGUAAUUUUGAUUGAAAAAAGCUCCCAGUAACCAUUUUUCAGCUCUCAAAUUCGUGUUUGUUGAAGUUCGAUUCGCGGACAUUCUCCUCAUCUAUUGAGCUGAAUCUUCUCGAAUCCUUUUUGUAAGUGAAUUUCUCCACUGCGGUGUUUUCAUUAUUCUUUUGCAUUCAGUUAUAAUAGAAGAAUCGUUGUUUUUCGUAUUUUAUUGUUUACCGAGAAAUAGAAAUAAUAGUUUGUUUGUUAUGCCUCGUCACACUUGCAAUCCCUAGGUUUUUUAUGGAUGAGCGAACCUUAUUUUAUCUCGAUUCAUGUAUAUGCAUUUAGAAUUGAUUAGUUCGAAAAUAUGUUGCCUGGAUAAUAAUGUGCAUUAAUUUGGUAGUAUGCUCGAUACUGUGUGGAGUUUGGUUCUGGACUAUUUUUGUGGAAGUGCACUUUUUAACCACUUAUUUAGGUCCAUGGAAUUUUAGAGCCUCAGGACUUUUUCAUACAUUACAUGAUUCACGAGUUUGCUUUUAAGAGUGAUAAUUACGUAUAUUGAUAGCUCAAUAAUUGAGUGUAUUGAGUCUAUUGACAUUGCUCUUUGGUUUCGUUCUUCUAAGGUUGAUUUUCCACCUCUCUUGCAGAUACAAAAAUCUUAGGUUACAGGUGAUGAAACCUUUAAAACUUAUAGUCCAAACCUUCUUUAGGUUUAUAACAAGUUAUAAAAUUAUCUCUUCCUUCUAGUGUUUUUCUCAACAUAUGAGUCUGUAAUGGGCACAUUCGGGGAUUUAAUGCUUUCAGUGUUCUGUUUGCAGCAAAUGCAGUGAGCUUCCUUUUAAUAUGCUACUUUUUUGGUAUUUAGAGUAGUUCAUAGGUAUGGUCAUACAAACUUUAAGGUAUGAAAUUUACGAGUUAUACUAUAAAGUUAUGAGAGAAUGUGAUUGAGCAUAACAUCAAUUUGGGUUUAUGGCACAGAGAUCUACCAUGGAAACCAUUUAUCUACUUUAGAGAUUGAUUGGCUGGAAAAUAUGAAGAAAUAAGGUGAUUUGAAUUUGUUAAGGAAACUUAAAAUUAAGGUGCAUAGGGUAGUGAUGUGUGCUAGAAAAAAAAAAAUACUUUUAUCAGAUAUAUAAAUACAUUUAAGUAUAUGUAUGAUGAAACAAUGAUGGAUUUGGAAGCUAUAUGCCAAAAAGUAGUCAUGACAACUACUGACAAAAAAUUUAGAGCAUAAUGAAGUAGAUCAUUGGUGCAUCCAUCGCAAUUCUAAUGAAGCUCUCAUGAAUACAUUUGAUCAGGAAGAGACAGACCAUGUAAGUGUGUGAAGUGGUUGCUGAAUAUUUAAUUUCUUUGGACUUUCAGUAGAUGUGUUGUUAGAUCAAGAAGUGGCUAAAAAGGAUUCAAGUAGCCAACCUCAAAUUUAUAUUUGGAAUAAAGCUUAUCAUCUUUUUCUUGUUUAUAUUGUUACUAACUUGCAAUCCGUAUUGUGUUUUUCAGGAUUAAUUUCAACAUAAUCCAUGUGCAUUUUUUCUAGUUGCAAAUAAUUGUAAUAAGCGUAUCUUUUUACACGUUUAAUAGUAUUUAAUAUCUGUUAUGAAUGAUAUUGGUAGGUUCCACCUGUAAAUUCAAGGAAACAACUGAAUAGAAACCCCAAAACAAUAAAUUUGAUUCCUAUUGUAAUCUGGAUUAUGGACCUAAGGAAGGAAGUGCAAUAUUAUUUAUGAUAAAAAUCUAAAAACUUUAAGUUAGAAUUGAAAUCUUUACUCACAGAAACUUCAUUUCAUAAAAUUUUAGAAUGAUUAAUAUUAUUGAAUUACUAGUCUUAGCUAUAAGGGAGCUUUUAAUACUUACUUUAUUUAGUUCAAUGAAGCUUAAGUUUCAUAGGUUUUGAUGAAAAAUAUCUAGUAUUUAAUAUUAAAUUCAGUGUUUUAACACAUUUUUAACUCUUUUCCAUUAUCUCUGUCUAUUAAGAUAUUGUCAAAACUUGAUGUCAUACGAUGGAGUAAACUGUGAAUGCCAACCAUUCUAAACUUCAUGUUACCUAGAGUUUUGCACCGGGUACUGUUGAACUUGUAAUUUAUGCACUAUUUGUGAAAGUGCUUUGAUAUAACCCCAAAUUAGUAGUUAGUCCAAUUUUCAUUUACUUGGGGGUAUUAUGGGAACUUUGCCCAUGUUUCAUGGCCAUUAUUGUGUAAAAAUGAUGUUUUCAAUAGUGUGUUUUUUUUUUUUUUAAGAAUGUGUGGUUAAAAAGUGGGGAAAGGUUUUGGGUUUACGUGCAAAAUAUUUUAUUAUGUGAAUGCGUGGUUGAAAAUGAGUAUGAGAAAUAAAUUGUUUUGUUUUAAAGGGAGUCAAAUAGGGAAUUAAUAAGUUGUAUAGGCUUUUACCUAUAAAUAGGGGGUAUCGUUUCAUUUGGAAGUAGGCAGAAAUUCAGAGAAAUCUGAUGGAGAGAAUUGGCCUCUCGAAUGCCAAAUAUCUGCAUUUUCUAUCCUUAAUUUCUGGAGUGCAGUUUCAUGGAUUUACAGAUUGUGUUUACUGUUUGCAUUUUCUCAUUACAUAAACGAUUGUUCUCAAUCUUCAAUUCAAUAUAGAGUUAUACAUUACAAUCAACAUCUCCAGCCUACAUCCUUCCAUUACAAUAGUGUUGCCUAACAAUUCUACUGAUCAGCUGAUUCACAGGUCCACAGUGGUAGCAGCAGCAGGAAAUUCCAUCAGUUGAGCAGCAGCAACAGGGGACUCAGCAACAAGGGACCCUAUCACACUUGAUAUUAUGAGGUUACCUUUUUGAGACCAGGUGGGUUGAUCGCGUUAGCUGCCAGUUUAUGCUAGUAUAACUACAAUGGCAUCAUCUUCUUAGAAUCCUGUGUCUGUGGAUCCAAGAUGCUGUCAAAAAAUGUUAUUUGCUUCUCAGAAGUGAUUUUUUCCUGUAAUCUCCAUUCCGAUCCCUUCCCCUGCCAAAAUGUUGUCAUCAAGUGGAAAGUCUUUUAACUUUCAAGUAUAAUGUGUUCUACAGUUGGGAUGUCCUUCAAGUAUGAUGCUUCUUGAGUAGACUGCUGAUCAAAUAUGGUAUUGAUGGUUGGAAAGAGAAAAGACUUUACACUUUAUUUACUUAACUGGAAACUUAUGAUGCACCGACACAGACAUGUGUGUCCGACAUGAUACGCGUCGGAUGCGUCGAUAUAUGAUUUUUCAAAAAAGUGCCGAC
Molecule: long non-coding RNA, 3385 nt
Filed under: Olea europaea subsp. europaea
Lineage: Eukaryota; Viridiplantae; Streptophyta; Magnoliopsida; Lamiales; Oleaceae
Source: RNAcentral